RNAcentral lists this ribosomal RNA (240 nucleotides) under uncultured bacterium. Its description in RNAcentral is "partial 16S ribosomal RNA". It matches the Rfam family "Bacterial small subunit ribosomal RNA", at positions 334 to 590 of the family's 1533-position model. The record is from RNAcentral.
GGUCCCUACGGGAGGCAGCAGUGGGGAAUAUUGCACAAUGGGCGAAAGCCUGAUGCAGCAACGCCGCGUGAAGGAAGACGGUUUUCGGAUUGUAAACUUCUGUUCUUAGUGAAGAAUAAUGACGGUAACUAAGGAGCAAGCCACGGCUAACUACGUGCCAGCAGCCGCGGUAAUACGUAGGUGGCAAGCGUUGUUCGGAAUAACUGGGCGUAAAGGAUGCGUAGGCGGUUAGACAAGUUA